RNAcentral lists this ribosomal RNA (440 nucleotides) under uncultured bacterium. RNAcentral describes it as "bacterial SSU rRNA". It matches the Rfam family "Bacterial small subunit ribosomal RNA", at positions 958 to 1398 of the family's 1533-position model. The record is from RNAcentral.
AACGCGAAGAACCUUACCUGGGCUCGAAGCGUAGUGGACUGAGGUAGAAAUAUCUUUUCCCCGCAAGGGGCUGCUACGUAGGUGCUGCAUGGCUGUCGUCAGCUCGUGUCGUGAGAUGUUGGGUUAAGUCCCGCAACGAGCGCAACCCUUAUUGCCAGUUGCCAUCAUUUAGUUGGGCACUCUGGCGAAACCGCCCCGGAUAACGGGGAGGAAGGUGGGGAUGACGUCAAGUCCUCAUGGCCUUUAUGUCCAGGGCUACACACGUGCUACAAUGGUUGGUACAAACCGUCGCAAACCCGCGAGGGGGAGCUAAUCGGAAAAAGCCGGCCUCAGUUCGGAUUGGAGUCUGCAACCCGACUCCAUGAAGCUGGAAUCGCUAGUAAUCGCGGAUCAGAACGCCGCGGUGAAUACGUUCCCGGGCCUUGUACACACCGCGCAUA